CAGACAAACCACUGCUGUAUGAAGGAUGGCAGUUGACCUUGACAGCUGUGGAGUGAAUUAUGUUUGGGUAUCCAAAAGAUAAAAGGAAGAAGUGCUAAGAUUAGUAAGUGGGCAACCAAUGUCAGAAAUGAACAUGGACAAGUGAUCAUGACUGUCAUGACUACAAUUAAAGGCUAUGGUCUGUCUAACAUGAUACAAGACCUGUGUGCACGCUACCAGAAUGCCUUAGGGCCAUCUCCUCGGAUCCUGUAUGUUGAUAGGGACUGCUAUGGUGCUGCAUAUAUUGGAAAAUACUUUAAAACCUGGCCAUACCUUACAGUGAGACUGGAUAUCUGGCAUUUCAUGCAGAGAUUGUCUGUCGGAUGCACAACUGAUGCCCAUCUAUUGUACGGGACCUUCAUGGGUUGUCUCAGCCACUGUAUCUUCAAGUAGGAGGAUGAAGCCAUCAAGACACUCCCAGUCCUUUUGACAACUGGCAGGCUCGACAUGUUGCCCUUUGGCAUCUAGUGUUAGUUUUAUAAUAUUUAGCUUAUAAGACUGGAAUUUUGACCAAAUUCAAAGAAUUUUGACUCUAAGGUGAAAAAGUGGACUAACUGCAUAAUAGGACAUCUAUACCUUUGCACAGGCUAUAAAGAAGUGUCAUCUGUUUUCAUGGGUAGUUCCGAGUAUGUUAUUUGAUUGAGGAUAAAUUACAUAUUAUUGUACAUUACGUUUUCAUCUGUCUGUGAUAUUUUCAUGAAAUUUCCUUAAAACCAUGUGUAUUUACAAUAUAAAUAUUUCUUGCAUGAGUUCUUUUGACCGCUUAAUUUUCAUUUUUUCUGUCAGCAGUUGAACUUAAUUUCAUAAAAAUAUUUGUUAUCAAAUACUGCAAAUGUGAUUAUUUUUGCACAGAAAAUAUUUACAAAAUCGUGAAUCCAGUUAAAAAUGUACACGUAACACAUCUCGGUUUAUAUUAGGAAAAGUAAGCAUCCUGAGGAAUUUCAUUCUUUGUGUAUGUGAAUAUUUCAGCAUGUUAACCAGACCAGAAGUACCAUUUUUAUCAUUAUUUAAAAACUGAUACCAUGAAUACUUCGAGCAUUUGGAGAAAUAGACAAUUCAUCUAUAUUAGCUUGAAGAAUAGUCAUUUUUGUAUUUCAGAACAAAAAUGUAGCUUAUUACAGUUUUUAAAAGUUAUCAGUUCAAGAACAGGAGCUAUCCAUAUUAGACAGCACGCUGCUCGACUCUGAAUUAGAGCUUUGCCAGUAAAAGGGUCAUAAAUCUGUCAAAACUCUAAUCAGAGUUAUGGGGAUUGUUAUGUCUCACCCCUUCUGGGGGAGACAUAUUGUUUUUGCCCUGUCCAUUCGUCUGUAUGUACGUCACACUUCAUUUUCUGAUCAAUAACUGGAGAACUAUUUGAUCUAGAACCUGCAAACCUCAUAGGGUUGUAGGGCUGCUGGAGUAGACGACCCCUAUUGUUUUUUGGGUCACUCUAUCAAAGGUCAAGGUCACAGGGGCCUGAACAUUGAAAACAAUUUCCAAUCAAUAACUAGAGAACCACUUGACCCAGAAUGUUGAAACUUCAUAGGAUGAUUGGUCAUGUAGAGUAGAUGACGCCUUUAGUUUUUAGGGUUACUCUGUCAAAGGUCAAAGUCACAGGGGCCUGAACAUUGAACACCAUUUCUGAUCAAUAACUUCAGUACCACUUGACCCAGAAUGUUGAAACUUCAUAGGAUGAUUGAUCAUGCAGAGUAGAUGACCCCUAUUGAUUUUGGGGUCACUCUGUUAAAGGUCAAGGUCACAGGGGCCUGAACAUCGAAAAUCAUUUUCGAUCAAUAAUUUAAGAACCACUUGACCCAGAAUGUUGAAACUUUAUAGGAUGAUUGGAAUGCAGAGUAGAUGACCCCUGUCAAUUUUUGGGUCAGUCUAUUGAAGGUCAAGGUCACAGGGGCUUGGUCAUGUAAAAUAAUUUCCGGAAAGUAACUUGAGAACCACUUGACCUAGAAUGUUGAAACCAACCAUCAGUGUCUCUUUGACUUUCGCUCCUGACCGCUAUUGACUUCUUGCCUAUAGGACUUUGCAUUGGGGGAGACAUGCGCUUUUUUACAAAAGCAGUUUCUAGUUUCUUUAAGUGUAGCCUUUGAUAGUAAAUAACUAUUUUAAGUCAAUAGCUUUGAUAGUAACAGAGAUAUUGAACGUUAUAUAAAACUUUAACCCAAAAAUUCUAAGUUAAAAAGGGACAUAAAUCUGUCAAAAUACAAAUCAGAGUUAUGGAGAUUAUUUCUCCUGGUGUAGACUGUGAAAGUAGUUUCAAGUCAAAAGCUUUAACAGUAACAGAGAUAUUUGACUGUAUUAAAAACUUUAACCAAAAAGUUCUAAAUUAAAAAAGGGCAUAAAUCGGUCAAAAUUCAAACAGAUUCAUGGGGAUUGUUUCUCCUCAUAUUGUUUUUCCCUUAAACAACCUAAUUGAUUAAACAGGUUUAAUUUUAACUAUGACUGAAAAAUUUCUCUACACAUAUGACAUAUAAACUUUCAGAUUGAGAUGAUUUUCUAAGGUUGCCACUGGGUCAGUUUUCAAGCCACUUGUUACGUUAUUACUUAGCACCCUGGUGCACAACAUGUCUUUCUCUAUUCACUAUCUACUAUGCCAUUCACAGGGAACUAUCUACUAUGCCAUUCACAGGGACCAGUCUAAUUAACAUAACAUGAAUCUGCAUGGGGAUUGUAGAUAGGAAAAUAAUUUUGUGAUUUAUUUAUUGCAGAGAUUAAUCUACCCUUUGACGUAAGUAAAAAACUUUGGAGGUAU
Mercenaria mercenaria is the source of this 2782-nucleotide long non-coding RNA. RefSeq lists it as uncharacterized. The record is from RefSeq and is a predicted model, not a curated record. The transcript has 3 exons. NCBI's taxonomy places the organism in Eukaryota, Metazoa, Mollusca, Bivalvia, Venerida, Veneridae.